This is a long non-coding RNA of Drosophila subpulchrella, 950 nucleotides long. RefSeq lists it as uncharacterized. The transcript is spliced from 2 exons. The record is from RefSeq and is a predicted model, not a curated record. Lineage: Eukaryota; Metazoa; Arthropoda; Insecta; Diptera; Drosophilidae.
GUCACGCUGUCAUAUCAAACCAACGUAAGCUCGUUCAUCACCGAUCAACUUGUAAACACGACGAACAAACUGCUGGCUGUAAAAUAUUGCUGCAUUUUUGAUCACUUGUCAUCCCUGCAUGAUGGACGAUCGUAGCAGAACACAGCAGAAUAUCUCAUUGGAGAACCUGUGGCCAGUGCCUCACCAGAUGCCCCCAUUUCCUGGGGACCCUUCGCCCGGCAGUUAUAAGAACUAAGAAACAGCUCCACUUCUUCAGUGGCAGUCUUCGGAGUCGGAGUCUGAGGAGAAUUCCGCAGAACCUGUUGACAACACUUGUGCGACAAGCGAAACGAUCUCGCUUUUUGCCUCCGCUAUUUAUUAUGUUUACUAGUGCCUUCGGCCGGCGAUUUGAUGGUGGAAAAAAGUGCUGGCCGAGGUGUCGAUAUCGCACAAUGAUUUUAAUGAUGGGAUCGAACCGAACCGAAACCGCUGGGCGCACAAAAAACACUGGGACGCGGUCUGUUGCAGCAAAUCGCUGAGAUGCCAAUGCUGAUAAUCAAUAAUUUUUAUAUUUUUAUAUUUUUGCCACAUCGCCGGUCGGCUUUGCAAUCCAGCUCAAAGGAGGACUCGAGCAGCUCGGAUACUUGCUGUGUCAGCUCACCCCUUGGACCCCAGUCAAAGGACAUGACAAUAAUCCUUAAUUACAGCUCACCCAGAGCCAGUGAAAUUCGAAUCAUAAUUGGAGUUCAAUGAGUCAAGCACAAUUGUGGGAUUUUCCUUGAAAGGUGGAGACUUAUGCUUACUUUUUAUUUUUACGAGGGAAGCUAAGAUACGGUUAUUUCUUGGAAUAGCUCGUUUUAAGGUUCUGGCACUUCCAAAGAAAUCUAAGUUCAUAAAUCAAGUGUAAGAUUGUUUUUGAUAAGCCAAGUGGUUCUGCAAUGCUUGUGGAAAUAUAAUCAUUUCUAAACACA